RNAcentral lists this ribosomal RNA (239 nucleotides) under uncultured bacterium. RNAcentral's name for it is "partial 16S ribosomal RNA". It matches the Rfam family "Bacterial small subunit ribosomal RNA", at positions 15 to 244 of the family's 1533-position model. The record is from RNAcentral.
GAUCAUGGCUCAGGACGAACGCUGGCGGCGUGCCUAAUACAUGCAAGUAGAACGCUGAAGAGAGGAGCUUGCUCUUCUUGGAUGAGUUGCGAACGGGUGAGUAACGCGUAGGUAACCUGCCUUGUAGCGGGGGAUAACUAUUGGAAACGAUAGCUAAUACCGCAUAACAAUGGGUGACACAUGUCAUUUAUUUGAAAGGGGCAAUUGUUCCACUACAAGAUGGACCUGCGUUGUAUUAG